RNA transcript from Lolium perenne, 1981 nucleotides. RefSeq lists it as uncharacterized. The record is from RefSeq and is a predicted model, not a curated record. Lineage: Eukaryota; Viridiplantae; Streptophyta; Magnoliopsida; Poales; Poaceae.
CUUGAACUACGCGAUUGGGCCCAAAGCAUCCAUUUUUAUCCAGAAGCACAUUCGGUCCGGGCUCCAGCCACUCGCCUCCAGCAAUGGCCAGUCAGCUGCUGCCGCCGGCGACUCCAUCCACCGCCGCUGCAGCCGCCACCACCACCACCACCUGCAUCUCCUCCACCUCCACCGCCACCACCAUAUUCUCCCUCACCGAAGACGACCUCCGCGAGAUCUUCCUCCGUCUCCCGGACCUCCGGGCCCUCAUCCGCGCCGCGCUCACCUGCCGCCCAUGGCUCCAGGCCAUCCGCUCCUCGCGCCCCUUCCGCCGCCUCUUCCGCGCCCUCCACCCGGCGCCGCUCCUCGGCCUCUUCCUCGAGAUCGGCAACUCCAGCGCCCCCUCCUUCCUCCCGCUCCGCCGAUCCGACCCCGUCGUCGCCGCCGCCCUCCGCCGCGGCGACUUCUUCCUCACAUCGCUCCCGCCCCUGUCCACGGGCUGGGGCUUCGCGGACUGCCGCGACGGCUACGUCCUCCUCUGGAACAUGAUGCCCAAGCGGCCGUCCCUCGUCGCCCUCAACCCCGUCACCUGGGCCAUCGACGUCCUCCCGCGGCUGCCCGGCCAGAUCGCCACCGGGAGCCGCCGCGACUUCGCCGUGCUCGGCUUCCACCUGCUGUCCUCCGACGAGCGCCCCUGGUCGUUCCGCGUGAGCUGCGUCUGCGCGGACCAGCGCAGGGUCCGCGUCGCCGUCUUCUCGUCGGAGGCCUGGGAGUGGGCCGUCCGGCCGUGGGUGCACGUCGGCGGGAACUGCAGCCUCAAGUACAGGGCCGGCACACUGGUGGGCGGCGCCAUCUUCUGGCCCUAUCAGGGCGAAGCGCGCAUGAUAAGGAUCGACACCGCCACCAUGGACAUCUCCUUCCUGGAUCUGCCGCCGGAAGUGGAAGUGGCCGGCUUCAAUUUCGCCGUCGGGGACACCAAGAACGGCGAGCUCUGCAUUGUCUAUGAAUCUGCUUUCUUCCUCCUCACCUGGAUUCGUCGCAGUGUGGACGGCACUGAGGUUUGGGCGCCGCCGACGGUGCUCUCUCUAGGCGAAGAACUCGACCGGCACACUCUUGCCUCCCUUCUGGACGUGCAGCUCGAUCUCAAGAUUGUGCAAGUAAGGUCUGGUCUCGUGCACUUGUCGUCCACGUGCAUGACCCAUGCCGGCACGCUCCACUGCUGGUUCUUCUCCCUUCCAUUGGAGACCAUGGAGCUCGAGCUACUCCUUGAGGGGAGCUUCGAAGGCGAUGUCCAUCUGUACAAUAUGGCCUGGCCUCCUUCUUUGGUUGGUGAUGGUUAGAGCAUUGGACAUGAAUGAUGCUCAAGUUUCUCGCUGAAUUGAGUCUGUGGUUGUCUGUCAUUUGCAAAAGAAGAAAUGGAUGGAAAUCUGUGGAUUGUUAAAUACAUUGUUGAUGCAAAAGAAGAAUAUCUGUGCAUCGGUUGGGAGGAGAUUUGCGGCUGGAGUGAUUGGGUUUAUUGUCUUGGAGAAGGUAAUUCUGGGAGAAGAAUUACGCAGAUGAGUACAUUCGGAAUACAUCACUGGCAGAGUUGACCACUUGAGCAUGCAUUUUAGGCAAGAGCAGGCAUGGGUGCAUGUCGGUGGACACUGCAGCCUCACGUACAUGGCUGGCAUGCUGGUGGGUGGCGCCGUUUUCUGGCCCUAUCAGGGUGAAGUGCGCAUGAUAAGGAUUGACACAGCCACCAUGAAUGUCUCCUUCGUGGAUUUGCCCCCUCAGGUGGAGGUAGUCGGUUUAACUUUGGCAUUGUGGAGACUGGGAAUGGUGAACUCUGCAUUGUCCAUGAAUCUGAAUUCUUCCUCUAUGCUUGGAUUCGUCGUCAUAGCUAGAGAGUUGGUGCUGCCACCCAUCUGUAUAAUAUAGCCUGGCCUCUUUCGUUGGUCGGUGAUGAUGAGAGCAUUGGAUAUGAAUGAUGUUGAAGGUUCCCUUAAUUGAGUUUGCAGUU